UUUGUUUUCUUUCCCAUUUCUAACACCUUCAAAUUUGGACUACUCACUAUUUACUUUUGACCAUCUACUUGAUAGCCAUCAAUCGGAUAGUAAGGAUUGCUUGAUCAGUGUGAUUUUUAAGAUGCUUCACCCAUAAUGAGUUAUUAGACCCACAAUUUCGAUGAUCUGUAUAGCUGCACAUCAAAUGUUUUUGGGUUAGAUUUGGGCAGUUUUGGAUAUUCUAUUUAUGUGAUUUUAGUGUUGUAGUAGGUAAUUAGAUUUGUGCAGUUUUGGAUAUUCUAUUUAUGUGAUUUUAGUGUUGCAGCAGGUAAUUUGAUUUGGGCAGUUUUGGAUAUUCUAUUUAUGUGAUUUUAGUGUUGCAGCAUGUAAUUAGAUUGUUUCGGGGGUAGCAUCAGUGUGCCUUUGUUAUUGACCCAAAAGAUAUUGACAAUGGCUUCAAUGGACUGGUUUUGCAUCUUUCAACGGACAAUAUCCUGGCUUAUUGUCUAUUCAAGCUUCUAAACGAGGCAUGAUUGUUCCAAUGCUUGAAGUUGUGAUAGCUGUUGUCCAUGUUGAGAAGCUUGUUGUACAUUUCCAUGACACAAAUGGGCAAUCUCUUUCAAAUAUUCUCAUUUCCAUCCAAGUAAAGUCUGCUACUGAACUUGCUUCAAGAGGCCUUCCAGUGGAUAAAGUUGAAGCAAUGGCUAUUGUAGGCCUUCUACAGUUUGUUGAUAUCUUGCAAUCUAGCAUGAAAUCAGCACUCAAGGAAGACCUUUACUAGUGUGCUGCAACCCUUUCCUUUUUCAAUAAACAGAAAAAGAAGGUUGUAACUCAGCGAAAGCGUACUAGACCAACCGAAAGCACUCAUCUUGAAGAGGUUUGAUUUUGUUCUCUCAAAUAGCUUGUGUUUUCCAUCAAUUAUAUUUGUGAAAAAAAUGGUUUCUACGUUUGUUUACGCUGCGUUUGGAUGCAUCAAAUUUCAUUAUAUUUUCCACCAGAUUAGAUUUAUUGAUCAUGAAAUUCAUGAUUUAGGUGCAACCAAAUACACCCUUAUGAUAAAUACAUGACCAUUUGUCUCCAUCAUUUGUAUUAAGCAUUCUUCUUGUUGAAUACACCCUUAUGAUAAUGCUUUGAUGGCUAGCAACUCUCGUUUUAGGCACAUCAAUAGAGUUUCAUUAUUUUGACUUGAUUCAACUGAAUGUUCACAAUUCAAUUUGGCUAUGCAUUUAUAUGCACCGUCAUAUUUCUACUAGUUAUUAUGCUGUGAUUAACACAUACACAUAUGCAUAGAGAUACAUGUACAUAUACAUAUACACAUACACACAUUUUCUGUGUUAUAUUGUUGAAGCUGUAGAGUUCUUGCUUAUCCCAUUGUUGAACAGGGGAUUGAGAUUUUUCUACUUGAACUAAAACAAUUUCAACUUUUCCUGAAGCAUGAACAUGAAAGGCAACCCCAUUUCCACUUCAGCAAACUGAU
Magnolia sinica is the source of this 1456-nucleotide long non-coding RNA. RefSeq lists it as uncharacterized. The record is from RefSeq and is a predicted model, not a curated record. The transcript has 4 exons. NCBI's taxonomy places the organism in Eukaryota, Viridiplantae, Streptophyta, Magnoliopsida, Magnoliales, Magnoliaceae.